CAGCCGCCGCGGUAAUACGAACCGUGCGAACGUUAUUCGGAAUCACUGGGCUUAAAGCGCGUGUAGGCGGAUGGGAGCGUCGGCCUCUGAAAUCCCCCGGCUCAACCGGGGAAGUGGAGCCGAAACGACCCGUCUGGAGGGACGUAGGGGGACCUGGAACUUCCGGUGGAGCGGUGAAAUGCGUUGAGAUCGGAAGGAACGCCCGUGGCGAAAGCGAGGUCCUGGACGUCUGCUGACGCUGAGACGCGAAAGCCAGGGGAGCGAACGGGAUUAGAUACCCCCGUAGUCCCUGACUCUUAUU
This 301-nucleotide ribosomal RNA is filed under the name uncultured bacterium. Its description in RNAcentral is "partial 16S ribosomal RNA". It matches the Rfam family "Bacterial small subunit ribosomal RNA", at positions 509 to 807 of the family's 1533-position model. The record is from RNAcentral.